This 531-nucleotide ribosomal RNA is filed under the name Ficusacalles ficvorator. RNAcentral describes it as "partial 16S ribosomal RNA". It matches the Rfam family "Bacterial large subunit ribosomal RNA", at positions 1819 to 2625 of the family's 2925-position model. The record is from RNAcentral. Lineage: Eukaryota; Metazoa; Arthropoda; Insecta; Coleoptera; Curculionidae.
GGCCUUUUGAUUAUAAUUUAAGGUCGGGCCUGCCCAAUGAAGAAAUUUAAUGGCCGCGGUAUAUUAACUGUGCAAAGGUAGCAUAAUCAUUAGUUUUUUAAUUGAAAGCUGGAAUGAAGGGUUUAAUGAAAAAAGUUCUGUUUCUGUUUAAAUUUAUUAGAAUUUUAUUUUUAAGUUAAAAAGCUUAAAUAAUUAUUGAAGACGAGAAGACCCUAUAGAGUUUUAUAUUUUUGGAGAUUUUUUUAUUUGGUAAUUUUAAUUUAAUUUUUAAAAGUAUUUGGUUGGGGUGAUUGAAAAAUUAAAGAAACUUUUUUUUUAUUAAACAUUAAUGUAUGAAUAAAUGAUCCUUUUUUUAGAUUAAAAGAAAGAAUUACCUUAGGGAUAACAGCGUAAUUUUUCUUAGAGUUCUUAUCAAAAGAAAAGAUUGCGACCUCGAUGUUGGAUUAAAAUAAGUUUUUGGUGCAGAAGCUAAAAAACUAGGUCUGUUCGACCUUUAAAUUUUUACAUGAUCUGAGUUUAGACCGGUUUAAG